This 481-nucleotide ribosomal RNA is filed under the name uncultured bacterium. Its description in RNAcentral is "partial 16S ribosomal RNA". It matches the Rfam family "Bacterial small subunit ribosomal RNA", at positions 28 to 505 of the family's 1533-position model. The record is from RNAcentral.
GACGAACGCUGGCGGCGUGCUUAACACAUGCAAGUCGAACGCUGAAGCUCAGCUUUUGUUGGGUGGAUGAGUGGCGAACGGGUGAGUAACACGUGAGUAACCUGCCUCCUUCUUUGGGAUAACGCCCGGAAACGGGUGCUAAUACUGGAUAUUCACUGGUCUUCGCAUGGGGGCUGGGGGAAAGGGGGUUUCUGGUGGGGGAUGGGCUCGCGGCCUAUCAGCUUGUUGGUGGGGUGAUGGCCUACCAAGGCUUUGACGGGUAGCCGGCCGGAGGGGGUGACCGAUCACAUUGGGGCUGAGGUCCGCCCCGGGCGCCAACGGGAGGCAGCAGUGGGGAAAAGUGCACAAUGGGCUCAAGCCUGAUGCAGCGACGCCGCGAGGGGGAUGGAGGCCUUCGGGUUGUGAACCUCUUUCGCUCAUGGUCGAGCCGCAACAAUGGUUGUGGUGAGGGUCGUGAGUAAAGAAGCGCCGGCUAUCUACG